Molecule: long non-coding RNA, 313 nt
Filed under: Mytilus galloprovincialis (Mediterranean mussel)
Lineage: Eukaryota; Metazoa; Mollusca; Bivalvia; Mytilida; Mytilidae
Source: RNAcentral
AAAAAAAAAUAAUUUGAUAACAACUAUGACAUUAGAAGAUCUGACGCACACAGUUGUAUCAAUAAUUUAUGAAAAACAAAAGAAAAACAUAUAAAUGAUAUCUGACAUCAGAAGAUCUGACGCUCAACGGAAUAUCAAUGAAUGAAAAAAGAAAUGUGUUGAUUUGUAUUAAUAUAAAUAAACAAAACCUGAAAUAAACCAAAUAGAUAAUCAAAAACUAUCCACUAGUAGUUUGUUUUAUAAGGUUAUAUUUUGUCUUAUUCUCUAGGUGUAUGCAAAUCUGUGUAUUUUAUAAAUGUGUUACAAAAAGGGG